Molecule: small nucleolar RNA, 90 nt
Organism: Camellia sinensis
Lineage: Eukaryota; Viridiplantae; Streptophyta; Magnoliopsida; Ericales; Theaceae
Product: small nucleolar RNA snoR20a
Source: RefSeq, a predicted model, not a curated record
GCCAAUGAUGACAAAUCAUAAAUUGACUGAAAUUCAAGUUUUUAAUAUUUGCCAUGGUGUUGAAAUUCUUGGACCAUAACGGUCUGAGGC